Molecule: ribosomal RNA, 488 nt
Filed under: uncultured bacterium
Lineage: Bacteria
Description: bacterial SSU rRNA
Rfam family: Bacterial small subunit ribosomal RNA
Source: RNAcentral
GAUGAACGCUAGCGACAGGCUUAACACAUGCAAGUCGAGGGGCAGCGAGGGCGUAGCAAUACGCCUGUCGGCGACCGGCGCACUGGUGAGUAACACGUAUGCGACCUGCCCCCUACAGGGGUAUAACCCGUAGAAAUGCGGACUAAUCCCCCAUAGUCCCGCGGGCUGCAUGGCCUGCGGGGGAAAGGGUUUCCGGUAGGGGAUGGGCAUGCGGCGCAUUAGCUAGUUGGCGGGGCAACGGCCCACCAAGGCGACGAUGCGUAGGGGUUCUGAGAGGAAGGUCCCCCACACUGGUACUGAGACACGGACCAGACUCCUACGGGAGGCAGCAGUGAGGAAUAUUGGUCAAUGGGCGCAGGCCUGAACCAGCCAAGUCGCGUGAGGGAAGACGGUCCUACGGGAUUGUAAACCUCUUUUGUCGGGGAGUAACGUGCGGGACGCGUCCCGUAUUGAGAGUACCCGAAGAAAAAGCAUCGGCUAACUCCGUG